Caenorhabditis elegans is the source of this 21-nucleotide non-coding RNA. The record is from Ensembl. NCBI's taxonomy places the organism in Eukaryota, Metazoa, Nematoda, Chromadorea, Rhabditida, Rhabditidae.
UUGCUUGUUGAGACGAAUUGA